CCAUAUGAUGCGACAGUAAAACUGCUAAUGGACAGGUUUUUGGAAAAGAAAUUUAGAGGUAAAAUUUGAAGUCAAACUCAGACUUCACAACAAAACAACAAUAGGUAAUAUUUAAGUGACACUAGAGUUAGCUUGUUUUUCAGUGCUGUCAGUUAGCCGUGUUGUUAUGAGUCUAACGUUAGUUAGCUAGCAGCUAGUUCAGUAGUGCUAACCAUCUGAGUAACAAGUGUAAAGACAUGGGACAUGGAUAUGGACUAUUUCAUCUCUAUGAAUAAAAGCAGGACGGUCUUCAAGGAUUGUUCAUUCACCUGCUGGUUGUUUGUAGCCAGAGUAAAAGGUCUGCUAGUUUCCUCAGGCCGACUUGUGGAAGAUGGUGUCCUCUUUAAAUCCCAGUAUCGCCUCUAUGCUGUGGACUGUGGACGGGUUGUCCCCCGGGCUCUGGACGGAGCGUGCGGAAGGAGACAGGCGCUCAUCCAUCAUCAUCAUCACUUGGGAAGUUGAUCCAAGGAGCCACAUUGGUCGAUGAAGUCCAAAAGAAGGGGUCUGCAGCUCAGCACCCAUGUCAACCAUCCUUUCCUCCUAACAAGGACAAGGCCUUCUGCCAUACAUGUAACCAGAGACGAACCCCUCAGGCCGCUCACAUGACGGAGCACUUCUCCUCCGCUUUGGUCUUCAGCUCGGUGACAGUGGCCGAGGCCUUCUCCUUCAGCUGGUCCAUGUCCAUGUUCUGCAAGU
Epinephelus fuscoguttatus (brown-marbled grouper) is the source of this 735-nucleotide long non-coding RNA. RefSeq lists it as uncharacterized. The transcript has 5 exons. The record is from RefSeq and is a predicted model, not a curated record. Lineage: Eukaryota; Metazoa; Chordata; Actinopteri; Perciformes; Serranidae.